UACGGGAGGCAGCAGUGGGGAAUAUUGCGCAAUGGGCGAAAGCCUGACGCAGCGACGCCGCGUGAGGGAUGAAGGCCUUCGGGUUGUAAACCUCUUUCAGCAGGGAAGAAGCGAAAGUGACGGUACCUGCAGAAGAAGCACCGGCUAACUACGUGCCAGCAGCCGCGGUAAUACGUAGGGUGCAAGCGUUGUCCGGAAUUAUUGGGCGUAAAGAGCUCGUAGGCGGUCUGUCGCGUCUGCUGUGAAAACUCGGGGCUUAACCCCGGGCCUGCAGUGGGUACGGGCAGACUAGAGUGCGGUAGGGGAGACUGGAAUUCCUGGUGUAGCGGUGAAAUGCGCAGAUAUCAGGAGGAACACCGGUGGCGAAGGCGGGUCUCUGGGCCGUAACUGACGCUGAGGAGCGAAAGCGUGGGGAGCGAACAGGAUUAGAUACCCUGGUAG
RNAcentral lists this ribosomal RNA (441 nucleotides) under uncultured Actinomycetes bacterium. Its description in RNAcentral is "bacterial SSU rRNA". It matches the Rfam family "Bacterial small subunit ribosomal RNA", at positions 340 to 793 of the family's 1533-position model. Lineage: Bacteria; Bacillati; Actinomycetota; Actinomycetes. The record is from RNAcentral.